AAUGAUGGAAUGACUCUCGGCAACGGAUAUCUAGGCUCUCGCAUCGAUGAAGAACGUAGCGAAAUGCGAUACGUGGUGUGAAUUGCAGAAUCCCGUGAACCAUCGAGUUUUUGAACGCAAGUUGCGCCCGAGGCCAUCUGGCCGAGGGCACGCCUGCCUGGGCGUCAGUU
Molecule: ribosomal RNA, 170 nt
Filed under: Juncus alpinoarticulatus
Lineage: Eukaryota; Viridiplantae; Streptophyta; Magnoliopsida; Poales; Juncaceae
Description: 5.8S ribosomal RNA
Rfam family: 5.8S ribosomal RNA
About the family: 5.8S ribosomal RNA (5.8S rRNA) is a component of the large subunit of the eukaryotic ribosome.
Source: RNAcentral